Molecule: long non-coding RNA, 1289 nt
Organism: Heterocephalus glaber (naked mole-rat)
Lineage: Eukaryota; Metazoa; Chordata; Mammalia; Rodentia; Bathyergidae
Source: RefSeq, a predicted model, not a curated record
CGGAGCCAGGCGGUCCGGGCCGGCCGGGGCUCACCUGGGCGGCGCUCGCAGCCGAGCUCAGACAGGGGCUCACCCCGCACUGCAAACGCCCUACUGCCUAGGCUGAAAGCCCCGCGCUCGCCGGGAUCUACACACAUUUUCCUUUAGAGGCGCCGGUUCCGGGCCAGCCCCAAGCUAGACCGCGGGGAGAGCUGCCCACGCGCCUCGGAAGUUCUCCGAGAAAUCCUGUUGAGCUCGAGUGAGAAAAGCGGCCCAGAAAUGGCCCGGGAAUAGGAAAGAAAAGACGAACCUGCUUCCUCCGAAAGGGAGGGAUUCGACUCAAGGUGGUGCUGUCUGCCGAGAUUUCCACUAUCCCCAGCAUCACGGCCCAGGCCCAGGGGCACGGGGGCUGGAAGGGGUGGGCCUAGAGCCCGCAGAGAACCAACCAGUAGCUGCAGAAAAUGAAGCUGAGCUGCUAAAGGGAAACAGAUUCUUCUAUAGAAAAGCACUCAUGGGCAGUAGUAACCCAUCUAAACCUAACACACGAAAUCGGUUGUGGCAUUAUACCCAUUUCACAGCUGUGGACACCAAGGUGCAGAGUGGUUAAGUGACUGGCUCAAUACCCAAUUUUAAGUGAUGGAUCUGGGAUUUGAACCCAAGAAGCCCAGCUGCGAGCAAUGCUCUUGCACCCCAGCCAGUGGUGGCAAACCUGUGGCACAGGUGCUGCAGUGGGCUGUUUAUCAUCAAAAGCUCUAAAAGUUUCACCAUUACUGCCACUAGGUUAUUGUCACUCUUAAUCGUGCUUAGAGUUGUCAGAUUUAGUAAAGAUAACAGGAUGUUUAUGGGGAUAUGCUUAUACUAAAAUUUCUUUUGUUUUUAAAAUCUGAAAUUCAAAUCGAAUGUCUUGAGUUGAGGGGGCACUCUAGGCCCUUCGCUUUAGUCUUCCUCCUCAUCUCAGAUGAAUCUAGUCUAAAUCAGAAAAAUCCUUGAACUUUGUUUUAUAAAUUACCUGCUGGCCCCACUGCACUGCCUGAUUUUGCAGUACAAUGUCAUGCUUCCUGUUUGACCUUUGUGGAACCCCAAGAUAUUGGAGUCCCUCCUGUCUCCUCAGAAGGGAAGUCAGACCCACCGUGGUGCUUUACCACAGAUGUAUGCUGCACGCCAUGGAUAUAACUGAAAAUUGUCUAGUACUGGCCAAUAGAGGGUUAAAAAAAAGCAGAUGGGGUUAGUUUUCCUAAUGUAGCUUAUUUAACCAGUAUACCCAAAUUAUCAUCUCUUCAGUAUAUAUUCAAUAUAAAAAUUAUUAGUGA